AGACUCCUACGGGAGGCAGCAGUGGGGAAUCUUGCGCAAUGGGCGAAAGCCUGACGCAGCGACGCCGCGUGAGGGAAGAAGGCCUUCGGGUUGUAAACCUCUUUCAGGAGGGACGAAGCUACUCGGGUGAAUAGCCCAGAGGGUGACGGUACCUCCAGAAGAAGCCCCGGCUAACUACGUGCCAGCAGCCGCGGUAAUACGUAGGGGGCAAGCGUUGUCCGGAUUUACUGGGCGUAAAGCGCGUGUAGGCGGCCACGCAGGUCCGUUGUGAAAACUGGAGGCUCAACCUCCAGACGUCGACGGAAACCGUGUGGCUAGAGUCCGGAAGAGGAGAGUGGAAUUCCUGGUGUAGCGGUGAAAUGCGCAGAUAUCAGGAAGAACACCAAUGGCGAAGGCAGCUCUCUGGGACGGUACUGACGCUGAGACGCGAAAGCGUGGGGAGCGAACAGGAUUAGAUACCCUGGUAGUCCACGCCGUAAACGAUGGGUGCUAGGUGUGGGAGGUGUCGACUCCUUCCGUGCCGUAGCUAACGCAUUAAGCACCCCGCCUGGGGAGUACGGCCGCAAGGCUAAAACUCAAAGGAAUUGACGGGGCCCCGCACAAGCAGCGGAGCAUGUGGUUUAAUUCGAUGCAACGCGAAGAACCUUACCAGGGCUUGACAUGCACUGGAAAACCG
This 676-nucleotide ribosomal RNA is filed under the name uncultured Gaiella sp. Its description in RNAcentral is "bacterial SSU rRNA". It matches the Rfam family "Bacterial small subunit ribosomal RNA", at positions 333 to 1000 of the family's 1533-position model. The record is from RNAcentral. Lineage: Bacteria; Bacillati; Actinomycetota; Thermoleophilia; Gaiellales; Gaiellaceae.